AUGCUGGCCUUCCAAUCCGCUUCACAGACAACGUGGGCGGAGCGAGCCCAAGGCUCCCACCGUCUGCCUUGGCGAGGAAGCGCCCUCUUUCGCCAUCCAGAACGGGAGCCCCUCCUUGGUUCCAGGACCAGAACCGAGCCCAGAAGCUGCGGGGGAUGGAGGCCGGCCAGCGCGGCCACUGCAGAGGGCGCGGGCGCCACGCCGGAGCUCUCGGGGUCAGAAUCUUCGUCCUUCUCCAGCACGUGGCGUUGUGUUUCGUCUACUUUUUUUGUUUGGGAGAAGGAGACCAAGCGGGAGCUCCCACCCGCUGGUUCGCGCCCCAGAUGCCGGCAGCAGGCCAGGCCGAAGCGGGGGGGCCCGGGAACUCCAUCCAGGCCUCCAGUGUUGAGUGGCAGGAACCCAGUUACUGUCGCCGGCUGCCUCCCGGGGUCUGCACUGGCAGGAAUCUGAGUCAGGACCUGCAUCAGGUCCUCAGACGUGGGACACAGGUGUCUUAGCGGGCAUCUUAACCACCAGGCACCUGCGUUUUCUUCUACCUACUGAGAAAGUAGCCCCCACCCACCCUGCGCUGCCACACUCCCCCCCCCCCCAUACCUGAGGGCUGGGGGUGGACGCAGCCCGCCUCCCGUGUGCCCUGGAGCUUCUAGGCCGGCCCCACAGCACCAUCUACCGGGCAGCUAGCCGGGACCCUCCUGAGGGGCGGAGCCUGUGCCCCGCGCCUGGCCUGGGGCCUGCCUUCAGAGCCAAGCCCAGUGUCUUAGCUUUGGCUCUGGGCAGGUCGGGAGGUGUCACGGGAGUCAACCUGUACAGAUUCCAGAUUCCAGGCCGGGGCCUGCUUCCUCUCCCCUGCCCCCCAUCAGGGACUUGGGGGUACGCAGGGAUCCUUGUUUGUGGAUGGGGGCUCAGGGUAAGGCCCUGCCCAGGCUGGGCCCCCAGGAAGUGCAGGAGAGAGGGGCAGAGCCGGAACCUUUGCCUUCCGUGGCUCGUGGACCGCCAACCCUCCCCGAGCGCCGCCGGAGCGGCAGGUUCUCCCACGAGUUGACCUGUGAGAGCAGCCGGGUCACCCCGCGGUCCUCACCUCUCUCCGUCUCUCUCCCAGGUCCGCAGUGGAGCAGCAGGGGCCCGGGAGGGCCUGACGCCUUGGCAGCGAUGGCUGAGAAGCGGCCCCUGGGGACCCUGGGGCCUGUGAUGUAUGGCAAGCUGUCCCGGCUGGAGGCAGACCCGGGGCCCGGGCAUGGCCUGGCCUCCUUCUGCUCAGCACCCUCGGACUCCCUGUGGCUAC
This 1282-nucleotide long non-coding RNA is filed under the name Oryctolagus cuniculus (rabbit). Its description in RNAcentral is "lncRNA (ENSOCUG00000029940.1)". The record is from RNAcentral. Lineage: Eukaryota; Metazoa; Chordata; Mammalia; Lagomorpha; Leporidae.